CCUUGUCGGGUAAGUUCCGACCCGCACGAAUGGCGUAACGAUGGCCACACUGUCUCCUCCAGAGACUCAGCGAAAUUGAAGUGUUUGUGAAGAUGCAAUCUCCCCGCGGCUAGACGGAAAGACCCCAUGAACCUUUACUGUAGCUUUGCAUUGGACUUUGACGGGACUUGUGUAGGAUAGGUGGGAGGCUGUGAAGCAGGGACGCCAGUUCUUGUGGAGCCACCCUUGAAAUACCACCCUGGUGUCGUUGAGGUUCUAACCUGGACCCCUUAUCGGGGUCGGGGACCGUGCAUGGUAGGCAGUUUGACUGGGGCGGUCUCCUCCCAAAAGGUAACGGAGGAGCACGAAGGUUGGCUAGACACGGUCGGAAAUCGUGUUGAUAGUGCAAGGGCAUAAGCCAGCUUAACUGCGAGACCCACAAGUCGAGCAGAUGCGAAAGCAGGUCCUAGUGAUCCGGUGGUUCUGUAUGGAAGGGCC
Molecule: ribosomal RNA, 477 nt
Filed under: uncultured bacterium
Lineage: Bacteria
Description: bacterial LSU rRNA
Rfam family: Bacterial large subunit ribosomal RNA
Source: RNAcentral